AUUGAACGCUGGCGGCAGGCCUAACACAUGCAAGUCGAACGAGUGGCGGACGGGUGAGUAAUGUCUGGGAAACUGCCCGAUGGAGGGGGAUAACUACUGGAAACGGUAGCUAAUACCGCAUACCAUCGGAUGUGCCCAGAUGGGAUUAGCUAGUAGGUGGGGUAACGUCUCCCCUAGGCUCAGAUCCCUAGCUGGUCUGAGAGGAUGACCAGCCACACUGGAACUGAGACACGGUCCAGACUCCUACGGGAGGCAGCAGUGGGGAAUAUUGCACAAUGUGCGCAAGCCUGAUGCAGCCAUGCCGCGUGUAUGAAGAAGGCCUUCGGGUUGUAAAGUACUUUCAGCGAGGAGGCGUUACUCGCAGAAGAAGCACCGGAGAAAGAAGGGCCAGCAGCCGCGGUAAUUC
RNAcentral lists this ribosomal RNA (406 nucleotides) under uncultured bacterium. RNAcentral describes it as "partial 16S ribosomal RNA". It matches the Rfam family "Bacterial small subunit ribosomal RNA", at positions 30 to 526 of the family's 1533-position model. The record is from RNAcentral.